RNAcentral lists this ribosomal RNA (838 nucleotides) under uncultured bacterium. Its description in RNAcentral is "bacterial SSU rRNA". It matches the Rfam family "Bacterial small subunit ribosomal RNA", at positions 28 to 882 of the family's 1533-position model. The record is from RNAcentral.
KNUAUACGCUGGCGGCGCCCAUAACACAUUCAAGUCGAACGGGUGCAACACCUCNGGGUGAGGCAUUAGUGGCGGACGGGCGAGUAAUACGUGAGCAACCUGCCUUUAAGGGGGGAAUAACCGCGGGAAACCGCGGACAAUACCGCAUAACACACAGAGUUGGCAUCAAGACUGUGUCAAAGGAGAAAUCCGCUUAGAGAUGGGCUCGCGGCCGAUUAGGCAGUUGGUGAGGUAACGGCUCACCAAACCGACGAUCGGUAACCGGACUGAGAGGUCGAACGGUCGCAUUGGAACUGAGAGACGGUCCAGACUCCUACGGGGGGCAGCAGUGGGGAAUAUUGGGCAAUGGGCGAAAGCCUGACCCAGCGACGCCGCGUGAAGGAAGAAGGUCUUCGGAUUGUAAACUUAUGUCGGGGGGGACGAACGCAAUGACGGUACCCUCCAAGGAAGCCACGGCUAACUACGUGCCAGCAGCCGCGGUAAUACGUAGGUGGCAAGCGUUAUCCGGAAUUACUGGGUGUAAAGGGUGUGUAGGCGGCUGAGCAAGUCAGAGGUGAAAUAUACGGGCUUAACCCGUAUCUGCCUUUGAAACUGUUCAGCUUGAGUGUCGGAGAGGUAAGCGGAAUUCCCAGUGUAGCGGUAAAAUGCGUAGAUAUUGGGAGGAACACCAGUGGCGAAGGCGGCUUGCUGGACGACAACUGACGCUGAGACACGAAAGCGCGGGGAGCAAACAGGAUUAGAUACCCUGGUAGUCCGCGCUGUAAACGAUGAAUGCUAGGUGUAGGAUGGAUACAUUCUGUGCCGCAGUAAACACAAUAAGCAUUCCACCUGGGAACCG